This 497-nucleotide ribosomal RNA is filed under the name uncultured bacterium. RNAcentral describes it as "partial 16S ribosomal RNA". It matches the Rfam family "Bacterial small subunit ribosomal RNA", at positions 28 to 507 of the family's 1533-position model. The record is from RNAcentral.
GACGAACGCUGGCGGCGUGCCUAAUACAUGCAAGUUGAGCGCUGAAGGUUGGUACUUGUACCAACUGGAUGAGCAGCGAACGGGUGAGUAACGCGUGGGGAAUCUGCCUUUGAGCGGGGGACAACAUUUGGAAACGAAUGCUAAUACCGCAUAAAAACUUUAAACACAAGUUUUAAGUUUGAAAGAUGCAAUUGCAUCACUCAAAGAUGAUCCCGCGUUGUAUUAGCUAGUUGGUGAGGUAAAGGCUCACCAAGGCGAUGAUACAUAGCCGACCUGAGAGGGUGAUCGGCCACAUUGGGACUGAGACACGGCCCAAACUCCUACGGGAGGCAGCAGUAGGGAAGCUUCGGCAAUGGACGAAAGUCUGACCGAGCAACGCCGCGUGAGUGAAGAAGGUUGUCGGAUCGUAAAACUCUGUUGGUAGAGAAGAACGUUGGUGAGAGUGGAAAGCUCAUCAAGUGACGGUAACUACCCAGAAAGGGACGGCUAACUACGUG